RNAcentral lists this ribosomal RNA (503 nucleotides) under uncultured bacterium. Its description in RNAcentral is "partial 16S ribosomal RNA". It matches the Rfam family "Bacterial small subunit ribosomal RNA", at positions 30 to 523 of the family's 1533-position model. The record is from RNAcentral.
AUUGAACACUGGCGGCAGGCUUAACACAUGCAAGUCGAGCGGGGUGAUGGUGCUUGCACUAUCACUUAGCGGCGGACGGGUGAGUAAUGCUUAGGAAUCUGCCUAUUAGUGGGGGACAACAUCUCGAAAGGGAUGCUAAUACCGCAUACGUCCUACGGGAGAAAGCAGGGGAUCACUUGUGACCUUGCGCUAAUAGAUGAGCCUAAGUCGGAUUAGCUAGUUGGUGGGGUAAAGGCCUACCAAGGCGACGAUCUGUAGCGGGUCUGAGAGGAUGAUCCGCCACACUGGGAAUGAGACACGGCCCAGACUCCUACGGGGGGCAGCAGUGGGGAAUAUUGGACAAUGGGGGGAACCCUGAUCCAGCCAUGCCGCGUGUGUGAAGAAGGCCUUAUGGUUGUAAAGCACUUUAAGCGAGGAGGAGGCUCUUUUGGUUAAUACCCAAGAUGAGUGGACGUUACUCGCAGAAUAAGCACCGGCUAACUCUGUGCCAGCCGCCGCUGUAA